AUUGAACGCUGGCGGCAGGCUUAACACAUGCAAGUCGAGCGGGGGAAGGUAGCUUGCUACCGGACCUAGCGGCGGACGGGUGCGUAAUGCUUAGGAAUCUGCCUAUUAGUGGGGGACAACAUCUCGAAAGGGAUGCUAAUACCGCAUACGUCCUACGGGAGAAAGCAGGGGAUCUUCGGACCUUGCGCUAAUAGAUAAGCCUAGGUCGGAUUAGCUAAUUCGUGGGGUAAAGGCCUACCAAGGCGACGUUCUGUAGCGGGUCUGAGAGGAUGGGCCGCCACACUGGGACUGAGACACGGCCAGACUCCUACGGGAGGCAGCAGUGGGGAAUAUUGGAGAAUGGGGGGAACCCUGAUCCAGCCAUGCCGCGUGUGUGAAGAAGGCCUUAUGGUUGUAAAGCACUUUAAGCGAGGAGGAGGCUACUCUAGUUAAUACCUAGGGAUAGUGGACGUUACUCGCAGAAUAAGCACCGGCUAACUCUGUGCCAGCCGCCGCGGUAA
Molecule: ribosomal RNA, 500 nt
Filed under: uncultured bacterium
Lineage: Bacteria
Description: partial 16S ribosomal RNA
Rfam family: Bacterial small subunit ribosomal RNA
Source: RNAcentral